UUCCGGUUGAUCCCGCCAGAGGUUACUGCUAUCGAGAUUCGAUUAAGCCAUGCGAGUUGAAUGUUCUUCGUGAACAUGGCGGACCGCUCAGUAACACGUGGACAACCUACCCUUGGAUCUGGGAUAAACCCGGGAAACUGGGCAUAAUACCGGAUAAGCCACAUAUGCUGGAAUGCUUUGUGGCUCAAAGCUCCGGCGUCCAAGGAUGGGUCUGCGGCCUAUCAGGGUAGUAGUGGGUGUAAUGUACCUACUAGCCUACGACGGGUACGGGUUGUGAGAGCAAGAGCCCGGAGAUGGAUUCUGAGACACGGAUCCAGGCCCUACGGGGUGCAGCAGGCGCGAAAACUUUACAAUGCGGGAAACCGCGAUAAGGGAAUCUCGAGUGCCAGCAUAUAAUGUUGGCUGUCCAGAUGCCUAAAAAGCAUUUGUUAGCAAGGGCCGGGCAAGACCGGUGCCAGCCGCCGCGGUAACACCGGCGGCCCGAGUGGUAACCGUUAUUAUUGGGUCUAAAGGGUCUGUAGCCGGCCGAAUAAGUCUCUUGGGAAACCUGGCAGCUUAACUGUCAGGCAGUCAGGGGAUACUGUUCGGCUUGGGACCGGGAGAGGUGAGAGGUACCUCGGGGGUAGGGGUGAAAUCUUGUGAUCCUCGAGGGACCACCAGUGGCGAAGGCGUCUCACCAGAACGGGUCCGACGGUAAGGGAGGAAAGCUAGGGGCACGAACCGGAUUAGAUACCCGGGUAGUCCUAGCCGUAAACGAUGCUUGCUAGGUGUCAGCCACGGUGCGACCGUGGUUGGUGCCGUAGGGAAGCCGUGAAGCGAGCCACCUGGGAAGUACGGCCGCAAGGCUGAAACUUAAAGGAAUUGGCGGGGGAGCACUACAACGGGUGGAGCUGCGGUUUAAUUGGAUUCAACGCCGGGA
Molecule: ribosomal RNA, 919 nt
Filed under: uncultured archaeon
Lineage: Archaea
Description: bacterial SSU rRNA
Rfam family: Archaeal small subunit ribosomal RNA
Source: RNAcentral